AGUGGGGAAUCUUAGACAAUGGGCGCAAGCCUGAUCUAGCCAUGCCGCGUGAGUGAUGAAGGCCCUAGGGUCGUAAAGCUCUUUCGCCUGUGAAGAUAAUGACGGUAGCAGGUAAAGAAACCCCGGCUAACUCCGUGCCAGCAGCCGCGGUAAUACGGAGGGGGUUAGCGUUGUUCGGAAUUACUGGGCGUAAAGCGCGCGUAGGCGGACUAUUAAGUCAGGGGUGAAAUCCCGGGGCUCAACCCCGGAACUGCCUUUGAUACUGGUAGUCUUGAGUUCGAGAGAGGUGAGUGGAAUUCCGAGUGUAGAGGUGAAAUUCGUAGAUAUUCGGAGGAACACCAGUGGCGAAGGCGGCUCACUGGCUCGAUACUGACGCUGAGGUGCGAAAGUGUGGGGAGCAAA
RNAcentral lists this ribosomal RNA (402 nucleotides) under uncultured Paracoccaceae bacterium. Its description in RNAcentral is "bacterial SSU rRNA". It matches the Rfam family "Bacterial small subunit ribosomal RNA", at positions 353 to 772 of the family's 1533-position model. The record is from RNAcentral. Lineage: Bacteria; Pseudomonadati; Pseudomonadota; Alphaproteobacteria; Rhodobacterales; Paracoccaceae.